Molecule: long non-coding RNA, 500 nt
Organism: Melitaea cinxia (Glanville fritillary)
Lineage: Eukaryota; Metazoa; Arthropoda; Insecta; Lepidoptera; Nymphalidae
Exons: 3
Source: RefSeq, a predicted model, not a curated record
UGAUAUUUGAAACCGCCGUGACCGAUUUUAUUUUUCCAAAAAACGUGGUAUAUUUUGGGUGUGUAAUGGCGAAUUUAUGAGAGAAAGAGACAGUGUGACUGUGUCAGAUCGCGAUAUCACGUUGUCUCUUUCUAUGCAAAGAUUUGUUUCUACAAUGAAACAAAACAGUUGUCACUGCGCACUUGUAGUGGAAGGUGCUCUCAAAUUUCAGCGAAAACGUGACAUUACGACGAUAUCACUGUUUGGUUGCAAAGAUGGAAUCGCGAUGUAAAAGACUUGUUAAUCUUGCAUUGACAACAGAACAAUCAAAUAUUCCUGUUGCAGGGAUAAGUGCAGAUAAGGACACAACGUUAAGCUUAGGGGAUGCAAGGUCAAAUACAGAGGAAACAAAGUUAAAUGUGGAUGAUGCAGCAAAAAAUCGUCAUCGUUGUGAUUCUACGAGCAGCAGUGGUAGUUCUUCGAGUGACUCAUCAUCAUCAUCGAGUAGCUCAACAAAUACA